AUGCUCUUCUCGUCUGCAGGUGGAUGCUUUAGCAGGACAGGUGAAGGUGGAUAAACUGCAGGAGGCUGAAAGCCAGAGAGCGUCUGAAGAGCAGAGUCCUGAAGCCUCAUCUAUAGUCUACGGUCAGCAGCUGACGUUGAGCAGCAGUCAUCCUCCCGUCUCUCCUCAGCCCAGUUUUCCAGCGUACGGCUUCACUCCCCCAGUUUACGGCUUCAACCUGCAGCCCUGAGUCCGGCCUGCGCAUCCGUCACUCCUGCUGGGAAUUCUGGGAAAUAUGUGCCUGUGCUGCAUUCAGGAAGCAUGAAAACUCUCUGCAAACACACACACAAGCGGCACGAAACACUCACAACACACACACACACCACAUGCUACUUGUUAACUUACAGCUGAACACAAUAUUAUUCACCCUCCUGUGAUAUGUUCAUUCUGCAUCUCAUUAUUGAUAUUGGGCGACACGGUGGCACAGUGAGAAGCACAAUCACCUCACAGCAAGAAGGUCGCUGGUUCGAGUCCCGGCUGGGUCACUUGGCGUUUCUGUGUGGAGUUUGCAUG
Molecule: non-coding RNA, 552 nt
Organism: Danio rerio (zebrafish)
Lineage: Eukaryota; Metazoa; Chordata; Actinopteri; Cypriniformes; Danionidae
Source: RefSeq, a predicted model, not a curated record